Homo sapiens (human) is the source of this 447-nucleotide long non-coding RNA. The record is from Ensembl. Lineage: Eukaryota; Metazoa; Chordata; Mammalia; Primates; Hominidae.
GAGACUGGGCUCUCACCAGACCAAGUGAGAUGAAAGCAGAGACUGGGCUCUCACCAGACCAAGUGAGAGCACCUUGAUCUUGGACUUUCCAGCCUCCAGAACCGAGGUUCUGAGAGCUGGAACAUGUGCAAUGUAUACAUGAUGAAGUAAAGUAAAACCCCAGAUUCUGAAGGAUGUUCACGUACUUGAGAUACUCAUCCAUGGAGUCAUGAAUUCAGAAACUAGUCCAGAAUAUAAGAAGGCUGCCUAUUAUAAGGCUUUACACAAGGACUUCAUUAUGUUAUCAAGUUAAGAUGAGUUCAUACUAGAUUAUGGUGGGCCCUAGGCCAAUGACUGAUGUUCUUAAAAGAGAAAUUUGGACAUCGAUUCAGGCAGAGGGACGAUGGCUAUGUAAAGAUGAAGGCAGAGAUUGGGGGGAUGCUGCCACAAGCCAACAAUACCAACCAC